GCAGAGGUUUAGCUCAGUGGUUACUUCGCUAAAAGCCUAGUACUUAUGCUCUAGCUCAACCGGCCCGCGGGUCGAGAGUUCGAACCUCGUGCGCUGUCCUCUGUUUUU
This 108-nucleotide vault RNA is filed under the name Anabas testudineus (climbing perch). Its description in RNAcentral is "Vault RNA (ENSATEG00000028390.1)". It matches the Rfam family "Vault RNA". Rfam says of the family: This family of RNAs are found as part of the enigmatic vault ribonucleoprotein complex. The complex consists of a major vault protein (MVP), two minor vault proteins (VPARP and TEP1), and several small untranslated RNA molecules. It has been suggested that the vault complex is involved in drug resistance. Lineage: Eukaryota; Metazoa; Chordata; Actinopteri; Anabantiformes; Anabantidae. The record is from Rfam by way of RNAcentral.